This 490-nucleotide ribosomal RNA is filed under the name uncultured bacterium. RNAcentral describes it as "partial 16S ribosomal RNA". It matches the Rfam family "Bacterial small subunit ribosomal RNA", at positions 30 to 507 of the family's 1533-position model. The record is from RNAcentral.
AUUGAACGCUGGCGGCAGGCCUAACACAUGCAAGUCGAACGGUAACAGGAAGACACUUGCUUCUUUGCUGUCGCGAGGCGGGCGCGUGUGUCAUGUCUGGGGAAAUGCCUGAUGUCGGGGGGUAACUAGUGGGAAAGGUUGCUCUAACAGCAUAACCUCCCAAGACUAGAGAGGAGGACCUUCUCGCCUCUUGCCCUCGGAUGUGACCCGAUGGGGUUAGCUCGAAGGUGGGGUAAAGGCACACCUAGGCGACGAUCCGUAGCUGUUGUGAGAGGAUGAUCAGCCACACUGGAACUGAGACACGGUCCAGACUCCUACGGGAGGCAGCAGUGGGGAAUAUUGGACAAUGGGCGCAAGCCUGAUGCAGCCAUGCCGCGUGUGUGAAGAAGGCCUUCGGGUUGUAAAGACCUUUUAGCGGGAAAGAAGAGACUAAAGUUAAUACCAUGGCUCAAUGACGGUACCCAAAGAAGAAGCACCGGCUAACUUCGUG